UGCUUAUAGGAAUAAUUAUAGGUAAGGCCUGCUCAAUGAUUUACAUUAAAUAGCUGCAGGAGACUGUACUAAGGUAGCAUAAUCAUUAGUUUUUUAAUUAAGAACUGGAAUGAAGGGUUUAAUGAUUGGAUUAUUUUUUUCUGGGAUAAGAUUGAAUUUUAGCAGAUAGUUAAAAAGCUAUUAAGAUUUUUAGGGACGAGAAGACCCUAUAAAGCUUGAUUUUUCUUCAUAAUUUGAUCUUAUGCCAGGAAAGUUUUAUUGGGGUAAUAGAUUAAGAAUAAGGAUUUUAUUUAGUGAUCCAAAAUUUUUGAGUAUUAGAAUAAGUUACUUUAGGGAUAACAGCAUAAUAAAGUUAAUGGAGUACUUAUUUGUUAGUUUGUUUGUGACCUCGAUGUUGGAUUAAUAUACUCUGAGGGUGAAGAAGCUCUUUAGAAUAGUCUGUUCGACUAUUAAAAUAUUACA
Molecule: ribosomal RNA, 462 nt
Filed under: Metasiro sassafrasensis
Lineage: Eukaryota; Metazoa; Arthropoda; Arachnida; Opiliones; Neogoveidae
Description: partial 16S ribosomal RNA
Rfam family: Bacterial large subunit ribosomal RNA
Source: RNAcentral